This 447-nucleotide ribosomal RNA is filed under the name uncultured bacterium. RNAcentral describes it as "bacterial SSU rRNA". It matches the Rfam family "Bacterial small subunit ribosomal RNA", at positions 355 to 825 of the family's 1533-position model. The record is from RNAcentral.
UGGGGAAUAUUGGACAAUGGGCGAAAGCCUGAUCCAGCCAUGCCGCGUGAGUGACGAAGGCCUUAGGGUUGUAAAACUCUUUCGUCGGGGACGAUAAUGACGGUACCCGAAGAAGAAGCUCCGGCUAACUUCGUGCCAGCAGCCGCGGUAAUACGAAGGGAGCUAGCGUUGUUCGGAUUUACUGGGCGUAAAGGGCGCGUAGGCGGCAUGACAAGUCACUUGUGAAAUCUCUGGGCUUAACCCAGAACGGCCAAGUGAUACUGUCGCGCUAGAGUGCAGAAGGGGCAAUCGGAAUUCUUGGUGUAGCGGUGAAAUGCGUAGAUAUCAAGAGGAACACCUGAGGUGAAGACGGGUUGCUGGGCUGACACUGACGCUGAGGCGCGAAAGCCAGGGGAGCAAACGGGAUUAGAUACCCCGGUAGUCCCUGAGCGGGCUGGCAAGGCGCAU